RNAcentral lists this ribosomal RNA (431 nucleotides) under uncultured bacterium. Its description in RNAcentral is "partial 16S ribosomal RNA". It matches the Rfam family "Bacterial small subunit ribosomal RNA", at positions 338 to 795 of the family's 1533-position model. The record is from RNAcentral.
CCUACGGGAGGCAGCAGUGGGGAAUAUUGCGCAAUGGGCGGAAGCCUGACGCAGCGACGCCGCGUGGGGGAUGACGGCCUUCGGGUUGUAAACCUCUUUCAGCAGGACAGCGGUACCUGCAGAAGAAGCGCCGGCUAACUACGUGCCAGCAGCCGCGGUAAUACGUAGGGCGCAAGCGUUGUCCGGAAUUAUUGGGCGUAAAGAGCUCGUAGGUGGCUUGUCGCGUCGGAUGUGAAAGCCCGCAGCUUAACUGCGGGUCUGCAUUUGAUACGGGCAGGCUAGAGGUAGGUAGGGGAGAACGGAAUUCCUGGUGUAGCGGUGAAAUGCGCAGAUAUCAGGAGGAACACCGGUGGCGAAGGCGGUUCUCUGGGCUUCCUGACGCUGAGGAGCGAAAGCGUGGGGAGCGAACAGGAUUAGAUACCCUUGUAGUC